CCAGACUCCUACGGGAGGCAGCAGUGAGGAAUAUUGGUCAAUGGGCGAGAGCCUGAACCAGCCAAGUCGCGUGAAGGAUGACGGCCCUACGGGUUGUAAACUUCUUUUGUCAGGGAGCAAUUGGGUCCACGCGUGGGCUUAGCGAGAGUACCUGAAGAAAAAGCAUCGGCUAACUCCGUGCCAGCAGCCGCGGUAAUACGUAGGGGGCAAGCGUUAUCCGGAUUUACUGGGUGUAAAGGGAGCGUAGACGGAAUAGCAAGUCUGAUGUGAAAACCCGGGGCUCAACUCCGGGAGUGCAUUGGAAACUGUUGAUCUAGAGUGUCGGAGAGGCAAGCGGAAUUCCUAGUGUAGCGGUGAAAUGCGUAGAUAUUAGGAGGAACACCAGUGGCGAAGGCGGCUUGCUGGACGAUGACUGACGUUGAGGCUCGAAAGCGUGGGGAGCAAACAGGAUUAGAUACCCCGGUA
Molecule: ribosomal RNA, 465 nt
Filed under: uncultured bacterium
Lineage: Bacteria
Description: bacterial SSU rRNA
Rfam family: Bacterial small subunit ribosomal RNA
Source: RNAcentral